Molecule: ribosomal RNA, 253 nt
Filed under: uncultured bacterium
Lineage: Bacteria
Description: partial 16S ribosomal RNA
Rfam family: Bacterial small subunit ribosomal RNA
Source: RNAcentral
UACGUAGGGGGCAAGCGUUGUCCGGAAUCACUGGGCGUAAAGCGCACGUAGGCGGAUUGGAAAGUUGGAGGUGAAAUCCCAGGGCUCAACCUUGGAACUGCCUUCAAAACUCCCAGUCUUGAGGUCGAGAGAGGUAAGUGGAAUUCCGAGUGUAGAGGUGAAAUUCGUAGAUAUUCGGAGGAACACCAGUGGCGAAGGCGGCUUACUGGCUCGAUACUGACGCUGAGGUGCGAAAGCGUGGGGAGCAAACAGG